UACGUAGGGUGCGAGCGUUAAUCGGAAUUACUGGGCGUAAAGCGUGCGCAGGCGGUUCUCCAAGUCCGUUGUGAAAGCCCCGGGCUCAACCUGGGAAUGGCAGUGGAAACUAGGGGACUGGAAUCUGGCAGAGGGGGGUGGAAUGCCGCGUGUAGCAGUGAAAUGCGUAGAGAUGCGGCGGAACACCGAUGGCGAAGGCAGCCCCCUGGGCUGAGAUUGACGCUCAGGCACGAAAGCGUGGGGAGCAAACAGG
RNAcentral lists this ribosomal RNA (253 nucleotides) under uncultured bacterium. RNAcentral describes it as "partial 16S ribosomal RNA". It matches the Rfam family "Bacterial small subunit ribosomal RNA", at positions 524 to 776 of the family's 1533-position model. The record is from RNAcentral.